GUGUAUGGCCACACCUACCUGAACAUGCCCCAUCUCAUCUGAUCUUGGAAGCUAAGCAGGGUGGGGCCUGGUUAGUACUUGGACAGGAGAGAAUCUGAGAUUGUUUUCCUCU
Ribosomal RNA from Aotus nancymaae (Ma's night monkey), 112 nucleotides. The record is from Ensembl. Lineage: Eukaryota; Metazoa; Chordata; Mammalia; Primates; Aotidae.